CAGCCGCCGCGGGAAAACGAAGGGUGCAAGCGUUACUCGGAAUUACUGGGCGUAAAGCGUGCGUAGGUGGUGGUUUAAGUCCGUUGUGAAAGCCCUGGGCUCAACCUGGGAAUUGCAGUGGAUACUGGGUCACUAGAGUGUGGUAGAGGAUAGUGGGAUUUCCGGUGUAGCAGUGAAAUGCGUAGAGAUCGGAAGGAACAUCUGUGGCGAAGGCGACUAUCUGGGCCAACACUGACACUGAGGCACGAAAGCGUGGGGAGCAAACAGGAUUAGAUACCCCUGUAGUCCCUGUCUCUUAUAC
This 301-nucleotide ribosomal RNA is filed under the name uncultured bacterium. RNAcentral's name for it is "partial 16S ribosomal RNA". It matches the Rfam family "Bacterial small subunit ribosomal RNA", at positions 509 to 807 of the family's 1533-position model. The record is from RNAcentral.